GACGAACGCUGGCGGCGUGCUUAACACAUGCAAGUCGAGCGGUAAGGCUCCUUCGGGAGUACACGAGCGGCGAACGGGUGAGUAACACGUGAGUAACCUGCCCCAUUCAUCGGAAUAACCAGUGGAAACGCUGGCUAAUGCCGAAUACGACCACCGAAGGCAUCUUCUGGUGGUGGAAAGCUCCGGCGGAGUGGGAUGGACUCGCGGCCUAUCAGCUUGUUGGUGAGGUAACGGCUCACCAAGGCGACGACGGGUAGCCGGCCUGAGAGGGUGACCGGCCACACUGGGACUGAGACACGGCCCAGACUCCUACGGGAGGCAGCAGUGGGGAAUAUUGGACAAUGGGCGAAAGCCUGAUCCAGCAACGCCGCGUGAGGGAUGACGGCCUUCGGGUUGUAAACCUCUUUCAGCAGGGACGAAGCGAAAGUGACGGUACCUGCAGAAGAAGGACCGGCCAACUACGUG
This 465-nucleotide ribosomal RNA is filed under the name uncultured bacterium. Its description in RNAcentral is "partial 16S ribosomal RNA". It matches the Rfam family "Bacterial small subunit ribosomal RNA", at positions 28 to 507 of the family's 1533-position model. The record is from RNAcentral.